Molecule: ribosomal RNA, 579 nt
Filed under: Hepatozoon canis
Lineage: Eukaryota; Apicomplexa; Hepatozoidae
Description: bacterial SSU rRNA
Rfam family: Eukaryotic small subunit ribosomal RNA
Source: RNAcentral
UUUAUUAGAUAGAAGCCAGUUCAUGCUUUUAUAGUAUGAAAAUUGGUGAUUUAUAAUAACUUAGCAAAUCGCAAAGUGAAAACAGGCGAUAAAUCAUUCAAGUUUCUGACCUAUCAGCUUUCGACGGUAUGGUAUUGGCUUACCGUGGCAGUGACGGUUAACGGGGGAUUAGGGUUCGAUUCCGGAGAGGGAGCCUGAGAAACGGCUACCACAUCUAAGGAAGGCAGCAGGCGCGCAAAUUACCCAAUUCUAACAGUUUGAGAGAGGUAGUAACAAGAAAUAACAAUACAAGGCAGUUAAAAUGCUUUGUAAUUGGAAUGAUAGAAAUUUAAACCCUUUUUAAAGUAUCAAUUGGAGGGCAAGUCUGGUGCCAGCAGCCGCGGUAAUUCCAGCUCCAAUAGCGUAUAUUAAAAUUGUUGCAGUUAAAAAGCUCGUAGUUGAAGUUCUGCUGAAAGUAACCGGUCUGCUUUUAAUAAAAGUGGUAUCUUGGUAUGUAUUUAGCAAUGAUGUCCUUUGAAGUGUUUUUUACUUUAUUGUAAUAAAGCAUAUUCAGGACUUUUACUUUGAGAAAAUUAGGAG